UACAGAGGGGGCAAGCGUUAUUCGGAAUUAUUGGGCGUAAAGGGCGCGUAGGCGGCCUGGCAAGUGGAAGGUGAAAUCCCUCGGCUUAACCGAGGAACUGCCCUCCAAACUGCUUGGCUUGAGUCCGGGAGAGGUGAGUGGAAUUCCCAGUGUAGCGGUGAAAUGCGUAGAUAUCGGGAGGAACACCUGUGGCGAAGGCGGCCCCCUGGUCGGAUACUGACGCUGAGACGCGAAAGCGUGGGUAGCAAACAGG
This 253-nucleotide ribosomal RNA is filed under the name uncultured bacterium. RNAcentral's name for it is "partial 16S ribosomal RNA". It matches the Rfam family "Bacterial small subunit ribosomal RNA", at positions 524 to 776 of the family's 1533-position model. The record is from RNAcentral.